This 465-nucleotide ribosomal RNA is filed under the name Vreelandella stevensii. RNAcentral describes it as "partial 16S ribosomal RNA". It matches the Rfam family "Bacterial small subunit ribosomal RNA", at positions 338 to 795 of the family's 1533-position model. The record is from RNAcentral. Lineage: Bacteria; Pseudomonadati; Pseudomonadota; Gammaproteobacteria; Oceanospirillales; Halomonadaceae.
CCUACGGGUGGCAGCAGUGGGGAAUAUUGGACAAUGGGGGGAACCCUGAUCCAGCCAUGCCGCGUGUGUGAAGAAGGCCCUCGGGUUGUAAAGCACUUUCAGUGAGGAAGAACGCCUGGUGGUUAAUACCCAUCAGGAAAGACAUCACUCAUAGAAGAAGCACCGGCUAACUCCGUGCCAGCAGCCGCGGUAAUACGGAGGGUGCGAGCGUUAAUCGGAAUUACUGGGCGUAAAGCGCGCGUAGGUGGCUUGAUAAGCCGGUUGUGAAAGCCCCGGGCUCAACCUGGGAACGGCAUCCGGAACUGUCAAGCUAGAGUGCAGGAGAGGAAGGUAGAAUUCCCGGUGUAGCGGUGAAAUGCGUAGAGAUCGGGAGGAAUACCAGUGGCGAAGGCGGCCUUCUGGACUGACACUGACACUGAGGUGCGAAAGCGUGGGUAGCAAACAGGAUUAGAUACCCUGGUAGUC